AGCGGGACUGCAGCGUCGAUCAUCAACCCCAUCAACGAUCGAUCCACCCAUCAGAGACACAUACACCCAAAGGGAGGUGUCUACGUCAUUCACGCAGGCACACGCAUUCUUCGCGCAAAUCUCGAUCAGAGCGUAGCACAACGAUAGUGGGAGGGCGCUAGCCGGAGCGCAGCUGCACGGACAGGGUCCCUCUCUACGCCUCCUCCCCUGCCCCCUCACUCUUGCUGUUCCACAGCAUCAAAUGCGGCGGACUUCUCUGCCUUCCCUCUGCGCCGUUGGUGCUGUGUGGCACGCCAGUUUACGCAGUAGUAGCACAACAGCAGCAGGUGAGUGCCGCCCAGCGUGCGCACGCACCGGAAGCAGCUUUGCCCUUCGUAGUGCGGUCUGCAGCAACAGCAGCAACGGCGUCCAUGCGCACACUCCCCUGUGGGUGAGCUGUCGGCGCCUGUCCACCUCCGCGUGGCGACGGGCACCCGAGAUACGUGCUGGAGACGGCGGAGAGGACCCUUUUGCGUUCGAGUUCGACCCCAUGACCGGUGUGCGGCGCGAUGCAGCUGUCGAGACCGCGAAGAAAAGCUUGGAGUCCAUUGUGGAGGAGCUGGCCCCGCCCAACGCAUCCUCAGAGGUGCUUGCGAAAAUUCGCAGCUACCUGCAACAGCACCCUGUCGACACGCUCAUCCUGAAUACCGAAGUGCAGAUCACCCACAUCGAGAACCCCGACACCGGCGUCGAGGAGCGCGUGCGCCUGAGUCCAAUGGGCAUCAAGGACGCACUGAAGCAGGCGCAGCUGCGCAACAUGAACCUUGUUCGAAUGGGUGCCCGCGGCGACGACCUCGCCUACUGCCGCAUCCGCCGGGAGCGGCCAUGGGUGUGGAAGCUCGUGCAGCCCGAGAUGGACCUCGUGAACGGGCUGACCGGCACCCCAGCGUCGGAUGCUGCCGUAGCGGCGCAGAAACAGGAGCAGCAGGUGCACGACGCCUGCAGCGGGGACGGCCAGCCCAACCACCCGCGCCAGUACCUGGGAAAAACGAAGGAACUGGUCGAUCACGUCUUUCGCGACGCUGUCGACGCACACUUCAUCGGCUGGCGUAGCAAGAAGAUCGCGCAGGACAUCCGCAAGGGACACCCCGUGAAGCUGACCAUCCGCGAUUUUCAGAACCCGGAGGCGGCCGUGCACAAGCUGCGCGAGAUGAGCAACGCGGUGAAGAAGUACGCGGAGGAGCAGCACAUCUUCCACCACUUUACCAGCAUCGUCGCAAACGAUCGGGAGGCCAGCCUCACCCUUUCGCCACCGACAGCGAACAAGUCUGGGACCAUUUCAAAGACGGUGAAGCACCCGUCCGAAAAGGAGUGGACACACACACUCAAGAAGAUGGAGGAUGCGUGCCGGAAGGCGGGGCGGAGCGGGACCUACGUCAAGUCGAGCAAGCUGAAGAUGCGUAACGUGGGGGCCACGACGUACCGUGUGGACAAGUAUGGCCGCCGCAUUGACUAGGAAUGGUGUGGCGCGAAGGGCAAAGGAAUCGUCCAUGCACACAACAAC
This 1543-nucleotide unclassified non-coding RNA is filed under the name Leishmania donovani. RNAcentral describes it as "gene:LdHU3.26.1070(CDS-product:hypothetical_prote in_conserved)". Lineage: Eukaryota; Euglenozoa; Kinetoplastea; Trypanosomatida; Trypanosomatidae. The record is from RNAcentral.